UUUCUUUGUUAUAUUGCUCAGCUUCCUUUUGAUGUUGCAUAUCUACUGGAUAUUUAUGAUGUGCAAGAUGGUAUAUAAUUAUGCCACUAAGUCUGUUGCAGCUGACUUAACUUCAUGCAUUCGGGACAAAAAAGAAAACUGAUGAAGCAAAAAUUAUUCAUUUUAUAAUAAAAUUUACUUUUAAAUCAAAAAAAAAAAAAAAAAAAAAAAAA
RNAcentral lists this non-coding RNA (212 nucleotides) under Ctenophora environmental sample. Lineage: Eukaryota; Metazoa; Ctenophora. The record is from RNAcentral.